Molecule: ribosomal RNA, 253 nt
Filed under: uncultured bacterium
Lineage: Bacteria
Description: partial 16S ribosomal RNA
Rfam family: Bacterial small subunit ribosomal RNA
Source: RNAcentral
UACAGAGGGGGCAAGCGUUAUUCGGAAUUAUUGGGCGUAAAGGGCGCGUAGGCGGCAUGGCAAGUGGAUGGUGAAAUCCCUCGGCUUAACCGAGGAACUGCCGUCUAAACUGCUUCGCUUGAGACCGGGAGAGGUGAGUGGAAUUCCCAGUGUAGCGGUGAAAUGCGUAGAUAUCGGAAGGAACAUCAGUGGCGAAAACGACUUCCUGGACCAGUACCGACGUUCAGGCACGAAAGCGUGGGGAGCAAACAGG